RNAcentral lists this ribosomal RNA (440 nucleotides) under uncultured bacterium. Its description in RNAcentral is "partial 16S ribosomal RNA". It matches the Rfam family "Bacterial small subunit ribosomal RNA", at positions 338 to 795 of the family's 1533-position model. The record is from RNAcentral.
CCUACGGGUGGCAGCAGUGGGGAAUAUUGCACAAUGGGGGAAACCCUGAUGCAGCGAAGCCGCGUGAGUGAAGAAGGAAUUCGUUAUGUAAAGCUCUAUCAGCAGGGAAGAAAAUGACGGUACCUGAGUAAGACGCCCCGGCUAACUACGGGCCAGCAGCCCCGGUAAUACGUAGGGGGCAAGCGUUAUACGGAUUUACUGGGUGUAAAGGGAGCGUAGACGGCAGUGCAAGUCUGGAGUGAAAGGCGGGGGCGCAACCCCCGGACUGCUCUGGAAACUGUACGGCUAGAGUGCAGGAGAGGUAAGUGGAAUUCCUAGUGUAGCGGUGAAAUGCGUAGAUAUUAGGAGGAACACCAGUGGCGAAGGCGGCUUACUGGACUGUAACUGACGUUGAGGCUCGAAAGCGUGGGGAGCAAACAGGAUUAGAUACCCCGGUAGUC